Molecule: ribosomal RNA, 643 nt
Filed under: uncultured Gammaproteobacteria bacterium
Lineage: Bacteria; Pseudomonadati; Pseudomonadota; Gammaproteobacteria
Description: bacterial SSU rRNA
Rfam family: Bacterial small subunit ribosomal RNA
Source: RNAcentral
CUGGCGGCAUGCCUUACACAUGCAAGUCGAACGGCAGCACGGGGGCAACCCUGGUGGCGAGUGGCGAACGGGUGAGUAAUAUAUCGGAACGUGUCCUGUAGCGGGGGAUAACCUAUCGAAAGAUGGACUAAUACCGCAUACGACCUACGGGUGAAAGCGGAGGACCGCAAGGCUUCGCACUAUAGGAGCGGCCGAUAUCGGAUUAGCUAGUUGGUGGGGUAAAAGCUCACCAAGGCGACGAUCCGUAGCUGGUCUGAGAGGACGACCAGCCACACUGGAACUGAGACACGGUCCAGACUCCUACGGGAGGCAGCAGUGGGGAAUUUUGCGCAAUGGGCGAAAGCCUGACGCAGCAACGCCGCGUGAGUGAUGAAGGCCUUCGGGUCGUAAAGCUCUGUCAGUGGGGAAGAACCGCCAGGAGGCUAAUACCCUUUUGGUCUGACGGUACCCACAAAGGAAGCACCGGCUAACUCCGUGCCAGCAGCCGCGGUAAUACGGAGGGUGCAAGCGUUGUUCGGAAUUAUUGGGCGUAAAGCGCGUGUAGGCGGUUUGUUAAGUCUGGUGUGAAAGCCCUGGGCUCAACCUGGGAAGUGCAUUGGAUACUGGCAAACUUGAGUACGGGAGAGGAUAGUGGAAUUUCGAG